This 327-nucleotide ribosomal RNA is filed under the name uncultured eukaryote. Its description in RNAcentral is "partial 18S ribosomal RNA". It matches the Rfam family "Eukaryotic small subunit ribosomal RNA", at positions 1470 to 1796 of the family's 1831-position model. The record is from RNAcentral.
CCCUUAGAUGUUCUGGGCCGCACGCGCGCUACACUGAUUCAUGCACUAAGUAUAUAACCUUGGUAGAAAUGCUUGGGUAAUCUUUGAAACUGAAUCGUGCUGGGGAUUGGAGCUUGUAAUUAUUCUCCAUGAACGAGGAAUUCCUAGUAAACGCGAGUCAUCAGCUCGCAUUGAUUACGUCCCUGCCCUUUGUACACACCGCCCGUCGCACCUACCGAUUGAAUGGUCCGGUGAAAUCUUGGGAUUUUGUUUUGUUUGCAUUUAUUUGUAUCGAGACGAGAGAACUUGAGUAAACCUUACCAUUUAGAGGAAGGUGAAGUCGCAACA